UGCUCUGGAAUCCAUGAAUGUGGAAAACGCCUUCACAGAAGUGCUCACACAAAUAUACCGUGUCGUGAGCAAGAAAGCUCUUGAAGCAGGAGAUGACCCAGCAGCAUUGCCCAAGGGACAGACCAUUAAUGUCGGAAGCAAGGACGACGUUUCAGCAGUAAAGAAAGUUGGGUGCUGUUCUUCUUAAAACAAGGACUGAUGUUCUAUUCCAACUUUUGAGUUGAAAUUUUCAUGUGGCAGUGGUAAUUCUCCUAUUCUGUAUAAUGAAUUCACCACAUGAAUCGUUUACUGGUGCUCAAGUUUGGAUUUGAGCUUCCCCUUGAGUUCCUCAGCAUUCUUUUAUCCUUGUUUCUAUAUUUAUCUUAGCUUAGUGUAUGAAUGUAGUAUAGCUUCUUAUGAAUCUCUUGGAUGGGGUGAAUUUUGAUUGCAAAGAUUGAA
RNAcentral lists this unclassified non-coding RNA (438 nucleotides) under Hevea brasiliensis (rubber tree). Lineage: Eukaryota; Viridiplantae; Streptophyta; Magnoliopsida; Malpighiales; Euphorbiaceae. The record is from RNAcentral.